Long non-coding RNA from Salmo salar (Atlantic salmon), 367 nucleotides. RefSeq lists it as uncharacterized. Lineage: Eukaryota; Metazoa; Chordata; Actinopteri; Salmoniformes; Salmonidae. The record is from RefSeq and is a predicted model, not a curated record.
CAUGUUUUUCCAUAGGAGAAGAGAGGAGGACAGACUUGAAUAGUCAACUGAAGGGGGGGGAAAGAAAAACCCAGUGUAUUUGACAGCUAUAGUUUAAUCCAAUGAAAACAGGUGGCCUCUUCAUUCAGACAAACCCUCCAUUGGGACAACCGAGGUUAGAGCGGGAGUUUGAAACAAGAUGAGGGUUGUACUGGUCGUGGCUCUCGUCCUGCUGUAUGUCUGGCUUCAGAAUGCCCAUAGGUCUGACAUCAACCAACAAGGAAGUGUUUGUGAUCAGGUUCUUCCUCUGUCCAUUUCCAGGCUCCUCUUCUCCCCUCUCUCUGUCUACUCCUGGCUGGUCUCUGUGAUGGUUAAACUCGUCUUCUCC